AAUCAUUCGCCUUCUAAUUAAAGGCUAGUAUGAAAGGACAAACGAAAGCUAAACUGUCUCCCAUAGAUUCAAUAAAAAUUAACCUCCAGGUGAAGAGGCCUGGAUUUUCCUAAAGGACAAAAAGACCCUGUCGAGCUUUAUCUUUAAAAUUAAUUACAAAUACAUAAAAAUGAUAAUAUAUAACAUAAAAAGAUUAAGUUGGGGCGACUGAGGACCAUAAUAAAACGUCCUACCCAAUCAAGAACAAAAUUCAAUCCAAUGACCCACAACAAAGUGAACAUAUAAAUAAGCUACCGCAGGGAUAACAGACUAAUCCUCCUAAAGAGCCCAAAUUGACAGGAGGGA
This 345-nucleotide ribosomal RNA is filed under the name Halla okudai. RNAcentral describes it as "partial 16S ribosomal RNA". It matches the Rfam family "Bacterial large subunit ribosomal RNA", at positions 1963 to 2517 of the family's 2925-position model. Lineage: Eukaryota; Metazoa; Annelida; Polychaeta; Eunicida; Oenonidae. The record is from RNAcentral.